RNAcentral lists this ribosomal RNA (229 nucleotides) under uncultured bacterium. RNAcentral's name for it is "partial 16S ribosomal RNA". It matches the Rfam family "Bacterial small subunit ribosomal RNA", at positions 118 to 347 of the family's 1533-position model. The record is from RNAcentral.
UGAGCAAUCUGCCCUUCACUUCGGGAUAACUCCGGGAAACCGGUGCUAAUACCGAAUACGACCACUUCAGGCAUCUGAUGGUGGUGGAAAGUUCCGGCGGUGAAGGAUGAGCUCGCGGCCUAUCAGCUUGUUGGUGGGGUAACGGCCCACCAAGGCAACGACGGGUAGCCGGCCUGAGAGGGUGACCGGCCACACUGGGACUGAGACACGGUCCAGACUCCUACGGGAG